GCUCAGGAUGAACGCUAGCUACAGGCUUAACACAUGCAAGUCGAGGGGCAGCAUGGUCUUAGCUUGCUAAGGCCGAUGGCGACCGGCGCACGGGUGAGUAACACGUAUCCAACCUGCCGUCUACUCUUGGACAGCCUUCUGAAAGGAAGAUUAAUACAAGAUGGCAUCAUGAGUCCACAUGUUCACAUGAUUAAAGGUAUUCCGGUAGACGAUGGGGAUGCGUUCCAUUAGAUAGUAGGCGGGGUAACGGCCCACCUAGUCUUCGAUGGAUAGGGGUUCUGAGAGGAAGGUCCCCCACAUUGGAACUGAGACACGGUCCAAACUCCUACGGGAGGCAGCAGUGAGGAAUAUUGGUCAAUGGGCGAGAGCCUGAACCAGCCAAGUAGCGUGAAGGAUGACUGCCCUAUGGGUUGUAAACUUCUUUUAUAAAGGAAUAAAGUCGGGUAUGCAUACCCGUUUGCAUGUACUUUAUGAAUAAGGAUCGGCUAACUCCGUGCCAGCAGCCGCGGUAAUACGGAGGAUCCGAGCGUUAUCCGGAUUUACUGGGUUUAAAGGGAGCGUAGAUGGAUGUUUAAGUCAGUUGUGAAAGUUUGCGGCUCAACCGUAAAAUUGCAGUUGAUACUGGAUAUCUUGAGUGCAGUUGAGGCAGGCGGAAUUCGUGGUGUAGCGGUGAAAUGCUUAGAUAUCACGAAGAACUCCGAUUGCGAAGGCAGCCUGCUAAGCUGCAACUGACAUUGAGGCUCGAAAGCGUGGGUAUCAAACAGGAUUAGAUACCCUGGUAGUCCACACGGUAAACGAUGAAUACUCGCUGUUUGCAAUAUACUGCAAGCAGCCAAGCGAAAGCGUUAAGUAUUCCACCUGGGGAGUACGCCGGCAACGGUGAAACUCAAAGGAAUUGACGGGGGCCCGCACAAGCGGAGGAACAUGUGGUUUAAUUCGAUGAUACGCGAGGAACCUUACCCGGGCUUAAAUUGCAGAUGAAUUACGGUGAAAGCCGUAAGCCGCAAGGCAUCUGUGAAGGUGCUGCAUGGUUGUCGUCAGCUCGUGCCGUGAGGUGUCGGCUUAAGUGCCAUAACGAGCGCAACCCUUGUUGUCAGUUACUAACAGGUUCUGCUGAGGACUCUGACAAGACUGCCAUCGUAAGAUGUGAGGAAGGUGGGGAUGACGUCAAAUCAGCACGGCCCUUACGUCCGGGGCUACACACGUGUUACAAUGGGGGGUACAGAGGGCCGCUACCACGCGAGUGGAUGCCAAUCCCAAAAACCUCUCUCAGUUCGGACUGGAGUCUGCAACCCGACUCCACGAAGCUGGAUUCGCUAGUAAUCGCGCAUCAGCCACGGCGCGGUGAAUACGUUCCCGGGCCUUGUACACACCGCCCGUCAAGCCAUGGGAGCCGGGGGUACCUGAAGUGCGUAACCGCGGGGAGCGCCCUAGGGUAAAACUGGUGAC
This 1449-nucleotide ribosomal RNA is filed under the name uncultured organism. RNAcentral describes it as "SSU rRNA". It matches the Rfam family "Bacterial small subunit ribosomal RNA". The record is from RNAcentral.